This is a long non-coding RNA of Carassius gibelio (silver crucian carp), 263 nucleotides long. RefSeq lists it as uncharacterized. The transcript is spliced from 3 exons. The record is from RefSeq and is a predicted model, not a curated record. Lineage: Eukaryota; Metazoa; Chordata; Actinopteri; Cypriniformes; Cyprinidae.
AGGAGGGGACUGGGCCUGAGAAAUCUGGAGGUCGUUAGCUUCUUACGGACACCCGAAAGUGUUAUCGUUGUUCCACAAUGGCGCUAUUUUCCUGCGGGACCUUCAUACAACAGACACGGGGCCCAAAACACUCCGUCUCACUCGUGGCGUUCCUUGGGAAGCAAAACAACACUCCUUCCUGUAUCUUCAAUGCUUUCUUUAUACUCCCUUCAGCGUCCAAACUGCCCCAUCUGCGAUCGCCACGUCAUUGAACACACCUGCCG